RNAcentral lists this long non-coding RNA (289 nucleotides) under Salmo salar (Atlantic salmon). RNAcentral's name for it is "lncRNA (ENSSSAG00000120795.1)". Lineage: Eukaryota; Metazoa; Chordata; Actinopteri; Salmoniformes; Salmonidae. The record is from RNAcentral.
CUGAUGGGAAGUGUAUCUCAGACCUGCCAUGUUUCCACUCUCCCUCAUAGCGCCUCCUCCAAUGCAUGCUGGGUAAUCACAUUGUCUUCUCACCUGCUGACUGGCUGGGGUGGUGGAUACCCUGCUUGUCCCUCACGUAGUCCUGAUUGUGGAGAGCUCUGACCAGGGGGGAAGACUUUUAACGUGACACGCUGGACCAUGGACAGGAAGUGGAAAUGGGUGCUGAGCAGCGGUGCUUUGCUGGUGAUAUUCCUUGGUCGCAUGACCACAGCCUUAGAAGUGCCUCUUG